Molecule: transfer RNA, 75 nt
Filed under: Planctomycetaceae bacterium
Lineage: Bacteria; Pseudomonadati; Planctomycetota; Planctomycetia; Planctomycetales; Planctomycetaceae
Also listed under: 3 other names
Description: tRNA-Pro
Rfam family: tRNA
About the family: Transfer RNA (tRNA) molecules are approximately 80 nucleotides in length.
Source: RNAcentral
CGGGGCGUGGCUCAGCUUGGCUAGAGCGCCUGGUUCGGGACCAGGAGGUCGCAGGUUCAAAUCCUGUCGCCCCGA